Molecule: ribosomal RNA, 459 nt
Filed under: uncultured bacterium
Lineage: Bacteria
Description: partial 16S ribosomal RNA
Rfam family: Bacterial small subunit ribosomal RNA
Source: RNAcentral
CCUACGGGAGGCUGCAGUGAGGAAUAUUGGUCAAUGGCCGGAAGGCUGAACCAGCCAAGCCGCGUGAAGGACGAAGGUGCCAAGCAUUGUAAACUUCUUUUGUCAAGGGACAAAAUCAGGCUCGAGAGCCUGACCGAGGGUACUUGAAGAAAAAGCAUCGGCUAACUCCGUGCCCGCAGCCGCGGUAAUCCGGAGGAUGCGAGCGUUAUCCGGAUUGAUGGGGUUUAAAGGGUCCGUAGGCGGACUGUUAAGUCAGAGGUAAAAGCCCGGGGCUCAACCCCGGCGAGCCGUUGAAACUGGCUGUCUUGAGAUGUCGAGAGGUAUGCGGAAUGCGGAGUGUAGCGGUGAAAUGCUUAGAUAUUGCGCAGAACUCCGAGUGCGAAGGCAGCAUACCGGCGGCGAUCUGACGCUGAGGCACGAAAGCGUGGGUAUCGAACAGGAGUAGAUACCCGAGUAGUC